RNAcentral lists this long non-coding RNA (1127 nucleotides) under Cyanistes caeruleus (blue tit). Its description in RNAcentral is "lncRNA (ENSCCEG00000007117.1)". The record is from RNAcentral. Lineage: Eukaryota; Metazoa; Chordata; Aves; Passeriformes; Paridae.
AUGCAUUCCCAAAAAAAACCUUCCCGGGGACACAUUCCCAAAAAAAAAAACAUCCCAGGGACGCGUUCCCAAAAAAAACAUCAUCCUGGGAAUGCAUUCCCAAAAUCCCGGGGACACAUUCCCAAAAAAUCCAACAACCUGGGAAUGCAUUCCCAAAAUCCCAGGGACACAUUCCCAAAAUCCCAGGGACACGUUCCCAAAAUCCCGGGGACACGUUCCCAAAAUCCCAGGGACACGUUCCCAAAAAAAACAACCUGGGAAUGCGUUCCCAAAAAAAAACAAUCCUGGGGACACGUUCCCAAAAAAAACAACAUCCUGGGAAUGCGUUCCCAAAAUCCCAAAAAAAACCAUCCCAGGAACACAGUCCCAAAAUUCCAGGGACACAUUCCCAAAAAACCGUCCCGGGAACGCGGCCCCAGAAUCCCAGGAAUGCAUUCCCAAAAUUCCUGGGUCCCAUUCCCAAAAUUCCAGGCCCCAGAAUUCCAGGGACGUGGCCCCAAAGUUUCAGGGAUGCAGCUCCAAAAUUCCGGGGUCCCAUUCCCAAAAUUCCCGGGUCCCAUUCCCAAAAUCCCAGGGACACGGCCCCAGAAUUCCAGGGUCCCAUUCCCAGAAUCCCAGAAUUCCAGGAAUUCCAGGAAUUCUCAGUUCUCCUCGGCCCCCUGCCGGGCGCGGAUGAAGCCAUUCCCAGAAUUCCAGGAACUCCAGGAAUCCCGGGAAUUCCAGGAAUCCUCAGUUCUCCUCGGCCCCCUGCCGGGCGCGGAUGAACGCCAUUCCGUGGGUCCGGAAAUGCGUUUUCAGGUUGAGCUGACUCUCGAAUCCUCUCCCGCAAACUUUGCACUCCAACUUCCCCUGCGCCGCUCCGCCUGUUCCUCCGCCUGUUCCUCCGCCUGUUCCUCCGCCUGUUCCCCCGGCUGUUCCCCCGGCUGCUCCCCCGGCGGAACCGGCGCCGCCCCCUCGGGAGGCGCUUCCCGGCUCCUCGGCGGGAUCCGAGCCCUUGCGCUUCUUGUGGGAGAUGAAGCGGUGCCGGCUGAGGGAGCCGGGGGAGGCGAAGCACAGCCCGCACUCCCGGCACUGCUGGCUGCCCGUCGCCGUGGCUGCGCCGCUUGUUCCGGUUGCGCUCGCGGUGU